Molecule: non-coding RNA, 326 nt
Organism: Camellia sinensis
Lineage: Eukaryota; Viridiplantae; Streptophyta; Magnoliopsida; Ericales; Theaceae
Source: RefSeq, a predicted model, not a curated record
UCCGAGGUGAAAGAUUGUGCAAGAACAGCUUGAUUGUCUUUUUCCGGGCUUGUGGUUGACAGAAAUCACCGCGGAUAUAUACAAAGUUCCUGAAGUUCCUGAAACUGGAAAACAAUAGAAAUUGAUGGAAUUGAUGCUGUUUCUGGAGGCUUGAAGGUUUAUCUGCUUGCUGACCACACUGGUGCAUUGUUGACCUCUUAUUAGUGGUAUACCGCACCAUCUUUGUCGAUUGGGAAUUCGAUGGAAGUGUUGAAUUCCUGGGUAUGAUGUGGUGCAAGCUUUAGUUGACUUAUAAAGCUAAUCUUGUUAAUUUUUUUUAUUUUUAG